Molecule: long non-coding RNA, 494 nt
Filed under: Apteryx owenii (little spotted kiwi)
Lineage: Eukaryota; Metazoa; Chordata; Aves; Apterygiformes; Apterygidae
Description: lncRNA (ENSAOWG00000014759.1)
Source: RNAcentral
GCAAAGCAUGCCCAAGUGUGCUGGUUAGUCACAAGGCAGUUUAGAAUCAAUGGACCGAAAAGAAGUAAGGGUAGUCUUCUGAAGGAGGACAACUUGAAGAGCAGUAGCUAGACCUAGUGAUACAGUCAUUCAUUUCAGUCAUCUUCAUCUUCUUUGAGGCAAGCAUCCAAGUACAGAAGGAAUCUAGGAAGUGUAUCAAAAAAGGGAGAAGAGAAGGGAAUCCCCUCACACUGUUUCAGCCUAUUGGAUGCGCUGCUGUGCAUCAUUCAGGUUUUUGAACCGAAUGAAGCGGCUGAUAGCCCAAUGUUCCAGUCAUGCCAAAACAGGAAGAGGAGGACUAGCUACUGAGAUUCCCUAGAGAGUGGAGAAAGAGGAAGAGAAUACUGAUGGGAGGAGUAGUGCAACCCCCAAGAUCAUUAUAUGGGUACUGUAUCUGGGGAAACAGAAAGCUGACAGAAGAAAGGUUAAAGCUUUGUGUGAAAUAAAGGGUCCUU